Molecule: ribosomal RNA, 2565 nt
Filed under: Drosophila serrata
Lineage: Eukaryota; Metazoa; Arthropoda; Insecta; Diptera; Drosophilidae
Description: eukaryotic LSU rRNA
Rfam family: Eukaryotic large subunit ribosomal RNA
Source: RNAcentral
AAGUUUCCCUCAGGAUAGCUGGUGCAUUUUAAUGUUAUAUAAAAUAAUCUUAUCUGGUAAAGCGAAUGAUUAGAGGCCUUAGGGUCGAAACGAUCUUAACCUAUUCUCAAACUUUAAAUGGGUAAGAACCUUAACUUUCUUGAUAUGAAGUUUAAGGUUAUGAUAUAAUGUGCCCAGUGGGCCACUUUUGGUAAGCAGAACUGGCGCUGUGGGAUGAACCAAACGUAAUGUUACGGUGCCCAAAUUAACAACUCAUGCAGAUACCAUGAAAGGCGUUGGUUGCUUAAAACAGCAGGACGGUGAUCAUGGAAGUCGAAAUCCGCUAAGGAGUGUGUAACAACUCACCUGCCGAAGCAACUAGCCCUUAAAAUGGAUGGCGCUUAAGUUGUAUACCUAUACAUUACCGCUAAAGUAGAUGAUUUAUAUUACUUGUAAUAUAAAUUUUGAAACUUUAGUGAGUAGGAAGGUACAAUGGUAUGCGUAGAAGUGUUUGGCGUAAGCCUGCAUGGAGCUGCCAUUGGUACAGAUCUUGGUGGUAGUAGCAAAUAAUCGAAUGAGACCUUGGAGGACUGAAGUGGAGAAGGGUUUCGUGUGAACAGUGGUUGAUCACGAGUUAGUCGGUCCUAAGUUCAGGCGAAAGCCGAAAAUUUUCAAGUAAUAAAUGACUAUAUAUUACAAAAUGCCAAUUAAUAUACUUGAAUAAUUUUGAACGAAAGGGAAUACGGUUCCAAUUCCGUAACCUGUUGAGUAUCCGUUUGUUAUUAAAUAUGGGCCUCGUGCUCAUCCUGGCAACAGGACGACCAUAAAGAAGCCGUCGAGAGAUAUCGGAGAGUUUUCUUUUCUGUUUUAUAGCCGUACUACCAUGGAAGUCUUUCGCAGAGAGAUAUGGUAGAUGGCUAGAAGAGCAUGACAUAUACUGUUGUGUCGAUAUUUUCUCCUCGGACCUUGAAAAUUUAUGGUGGGAUACGCAACUUCUCAACAGGCCGUACCAAUAUCCGCAGCUGGUCUCCAAGUGAAGAGUCUCUAGUCGAUAGAAUAAUGUAGUAAGGGAAGUCGGCAAAUUAGAUCCGUAACUUCGGGAUAGGAUUGGCUCUGAGAUUGAGAUAGUCGGGCUUGAUUGGGAAACAAUAACAUGGUUUAUGUGCUCGUUCUGGGUAAAUAGAGUUUCUAUCAUUUAUGUUAGUUGCUUGUUCCCCGGAUAGUUUAGUUACGUAGCCAAUUGUGGAACUUUCUUGCUAAAAUUUUUAAGAAUACUAGUUGGGUCAAACCAAUUAGUUCUUAUUAAUUAUAACGAUUAUCAAUUAACAAUCAAUUCAGAACUGGCACGGACUUGGGGAAUCCGACUGUCUAAUUAAAACAAAGCAUUGUGAUGGCCCUAGCGGGUGUUGACACAAUGUGAUUUCUGCCCAGUGCUCUGAAUGUCAAAGUGAAGAAAUUCAAGUAAGCGCGGGUCAACGGCGGGAGUAACUAUGACUCUCUUAAGGUAGCCAAAUGCCUCGUCAUCUAAUUAGUGACGCGCAUGAAUGGAUUAACGAGAUUCCUACUGUCCCUAUCUACUAUCUAGCGAAACCACAGCCAAGGGAACGGGCUUGGAAUAAUUAGCGGGGAAAGAAGACCCUUUUGAGCUUGACUCUAAUCUGGCAGUGUAAGGAGACAUAAGAGGUGUAGAAUAAGUGGGAGAUAUUAGACUUCGGUUUGGUAUCGACAAUGAAAUACCACUACUCUUAUUGUUUCCUUACUUACUUGAUUAAAUGGAACGUGUAUCAUUUCCUAGCCAUUAUACGGAUAUAUUUAUUAUAUCUUAUGGUAUUGGGUUUGAUGCAAGCUUCUUGAUCAAAGUAUCACGAGUUUGUUAUAUAAUCGCAAACAAAUUCUUUAAUGAGACGAUGCAUUUAUGUAUUUUUGAUUUGAAAAUUUGGUAUAACUCCAAUUACUCAGGUAUGAUCCAAUUCAAGGACAUUGCCAGGUAGGGAGUUUGACUGGGGCGGUACAUCUCUCAAAUAAUAACGGAGGUGUCCCAAGGCCAGCUCAGUGCGGACAGAAACCACACAUAGAGCAAAAGGGCAAAUGCUGACUUGAUCUCGGUGUUCAGUACACACAGGGACAGCAAAAGCUCGGCCUAUCGAUCCUUUUGGUUUAAAGAGUUUUUAACAAGAGGUGUCAGAAAAGUUACCAUAGGGAUAACUGGCUUGUGGCGGCCAAGCGUUCAUAGCGACGUCGCUUUUGAUCCUUCGAUGUCGGCUCUUCCUAUCAUUGUGAAGCAAAAUUCACCAAGCGUUGGAUUGUUCACCCAUGCAAGGGAACGUGAGCUGGGUUUAGACCGUCGUGAGACAGGUUAGUUUUACCCUACUAAUGACAAAACGUUGUUGCGACAGCAUUCCUGCGUAGUACGAGAGGAACCGCAGGUACGGACCAAUGGCACAAUACUUGUUCGAGCGAACAGUGGUAUGACGCUACGUCCGUUGGAUUAUGCCUGAACGCCUCUAAGGUCGUAUCCGUGCUGGACUGCAAUGAUAAAUAAGGGGCAAUUUGCAUUGUAUGGCUUCUAAACCAUUUAAAGUUUGU